UACGGAGGGGGCUAGCGUUAUUCGGAAUUACUGGGCGUAAAGCGCACGUAGGCGGCUUUGUAAGUAAGAGGUGAAAGCCCGGAGCUCAACUCCGGAACUGCCUUUUAGACUGCAUCGCUUGAAUCCAGGAGAGGUGAGUGGAAUUCCGAGUGUAGAGGUGAAAUUCGUAGAUAUUCGGAAGAACACCAGUGGCGAAGGCGACUCACUGGCUCGACACUGACGCUGAGGUGCGAAAGCGUGGGGAGCAAACAGG
Molecule: ribosomal RNA, 253 nt
Filed under: uncultured bacterium
Lineage: Bacteria
Description: partial 16S ribosomal RNA
Rfam family: Bacterial small subunit ribosomal RNA
Source: RNAcentral